Molecule: ribosomal RNA, 253 nt
Filed under: uncultured prokaryote
Description: partial 16S ribosomal RNA
Rfam family: Bacterial small subunit ribosomal RNA
Source: RNAcentral
UACGAAGGGGGCUAGCGUUGCUCGGAAUCACUGGGCGUAAAGCGCACGUAGGCGGCUUUUUAAGUCGGGGGUGAAAUCCUGGAGCUCAACUCCAGAACUGCCUUCGAUACUGAGAAGCUCGAGUCCGGGAGAGGUGAGUGGAACUGCGAGUGUAGAGGUGAAAUUCGUAGAUAUUCGCAAGAACACCAGUGGCGAAGGCGGGUCUCUGGACAGUUCCUGACGCUGAGGCACGAAGGUCAGGGGAGCAAACGGG